GAUGAACGCUGGCGGCGUGCCUAAUACAUGCAAGUCGAGCGAACGGACGAGAAGCUUGCUUCUCUGAUGUUAGCGGCGGACGGGUGAGUAACACGUGGAUAACCUACCUAUAAGACUGGGAUAACUUCGGGAAACCGGAGCUAAUACCGGAUAAUAUUUUGAACCGCAUGGUUCAAAAGUGAAAGACGGUCUUGCUGUCACUUAUAGAUGGAUCCGCGCUGCAUUAGCUAGUUGGUAAGGUAACGGCUUACCAAGGCAACGAUGCAUAGCCGACCUGAGAGGGUGAUCGGCCACACUGGAACUGAGACACGGUCCAGACUCCUACGGGAGGCAGCAGUAGGGAAUCUUCCGCAAUGGGCGAAAGCCUGACGGAGCAACGCCGCGUGAGUGAUGAAGGUCUUCGGAUCGUAAAACUCUGUUAUUAGGGAAGAACAUAUGUGUAAGUAACUGUGCACAUCUUGACGGUACCUAAUCAGAAAGCCACGGCUAACUACGUGCCAGCAGCCGCGGUAAUACGUAGGUGGCAAGCGUUAUCCGGAAUUAUUGGGCGUAAAGCGCGCGUAGGCGGUUUUUUAAGUCUGAUGUGAAUCCCACGGCUCAACCCUGGAGGGGUCAUUGGAAACUGAAAACUUGUUUGCCUAACAAGAACGGGAAUUUCUUUUGAACUAGUGAAAUCCCCCAAGAUUGGCAGGACCCCGUUGGUUACUUU
This 709-nucleotide ribosomal RNA is filed under the name Staphylococcus aureus. RNAcentral describes it as "bacterial SSU rRNA". It matches the Rfam family "Bacterial small subunit ribosomal RNA", at positions 28 to 725 of the family's 1533-position model. The record is from RNAcentral. Lineage: Bacteria; Bacillati; Bacillota; Bacilli; Caryophanales; Staphylococcaceae.